Molecule: long non-coding RNA, 2116 nt
Filed under: Piliocolobus tephrosceles (Ugandan red Colobus)
Lineage: Eukaryota; Metazoa; Chordata; Mammalia; Primates; Cercopithecidae
Description: lncRNA (ENSPTEG00000020007.1)
Source: RNAcentral
UAUAUUAACGAAGUUAUAAAAAUGAAACAUAUUGAUGAAAUGGUAAUGAUGGUAAAAGAGACGGAGGAAGAAGAAGAAGAAGAAGAAGAAGAAAAAAAAAAAAAGAAGAAAAAGAAGAAAAGUUGUUUUUGUCAGGUGACAAAAAAGAAAACAAACAAAAUGGCGAAUCUAGUGAAAAAAAAAAACAAAAAAAUAUAACUACAAUAGCGUUAGUAACGAUUAUAAAAGGAGGAUAAAACAUAUGGGUAUAGAUAUAUAUAUCGAAUUUUAUUUACCUUAUAUAACUAUAUUAAAAAAUAACAAAAUAAAUGAGUUAGUAAAAAAAAAAAAAGAUAUGUUAUAUGUGUUAAAUUUAUGUGAAGAGUUUAUAAAUAUAAUUAAAUAUAAAAUAGAUUACAAGUCUAGUGAAAAAGACAUAUUAUUAAAUUUGUUUAAUAAAGAAUAUGAAGAAAUAACAUUCAAUUCUUUUAAUAAACUUGUUAAUCAAGUUCAAUGUUUAUUUCAAAAAAUGAAUAUAAUAAUACCUAGUAAUUCUGAUUACGAUGGUAUGUAUAAUAACAAUUUACCAACCGUUUCGGAUAUUCAAAAAUAUGUAGACGCAUUUUAUAACGAAUUAUAUAUAUAUAUAUAUUACCCUUAUAUUUUUACAAGAAUUAUAAGUACUUGUAACAAUUCUUUAUUGCUAUUAAGUAAUAAUUUAAACAAUUUAAAAAAAAAAUUAAAUCUUCACAUUGAUGUGGACACAAAAAAUAAACAAAUAACCAUUGAUUAUACAUAUAAAAAUUUUAAAUUUAAUUUGGAAUUAUUUUUAAUUAGUAAACAGCUGUUAAUAUAUUUGAUAAAUACUUUAAAAAAAUUAAAAAAAGAAAUUAUAAAAAUAAAAAUAAAGACUUAUAAAAUGUGUUGUAUGUAUUAUUCAAGUGAUCAAAUAAAAAACAAAAAUCUGAGUGAUCGUUUUUUAUCAAAAGGGGAGGAGAAGUACACAAUUAUGGCAGAUCUCUACAAACAAAAUAUGUCAACGAUACAACACAAAAUUACAACAGACCAUUCCAAAAAAAAAAUAAAAACAAAUGGCGUUCUCCACAAUAUUUUAACAGAUAACAAGAACCUAAUUGCUUUAUCUUUUGAUGAAUUCUUUUUUGAAUUUUUUACUUUUCAAGAUUAUUUAAACAGUUACUUUUGUAAUAGUGGUGGUGAUAGUGGUGAUGAUGGUGAUGAUGGUGAUGAUGGUGAUGGUGGUGAUAAUCCCCAAAAAAAUGAAUUAAAAAAGGAGCAUAUUAAUUAUAAAAAAAUCGCUAAUCCAGUGGAAAUAAUAAAAAAGGAGACAAUUUUUGAAGAAAAUAAAAAAGAAAAAAAUAAUAAUAAAAAUGAUAGUUUUAGUAACAAAAUGGAAGUUAACAAUGUGUCACUUUUGAACAAGUCUCAAAACUGUAUAAACCCAAAUUUAUUUGAAUUGGAUUUUCUUCUUGAUUUUAAACAUAAUUUUUUUAAUUUAAAUAAUUCGUACAAUAUUUUUGAUAAUGAUGAAGAAAAAAAGAAUUAUGAAUUGAAUUCUUUGUUUAUUAAAGAAAAAUGUCAAUUUUUGUUAAAAAAAAAAAAAAAAAAAAAAAAAAUAUUUUUCGAUUUAAAUGAUUUAGAAAAGGGUAUAAAUGAAUUUAAUAAUGCAGUAAAUUCAUGUAUACAUGAAUGUUUCGAAUGUUUUGAAAAAACGUCUAAUUCUUUUUUAAAAACUAAUUGUAACAUUAUAAGUACCAUAGAUGUACAUUCUUUAUUUGAUAAAUUGUGUGUACAUUUUUAUAAUAACAUAAUACAAAAUAUACCAUUAUAUGAAUGUACCUAUAUAAUCAAUAAUUUAAUAAAUAAAAUCUUAGUUUAUUUAAUAGCUAUAUCAGCUUAUUACUUAAUUAAUGAUAUGGAUUUAUUUAUAUUUAAAUAUUAUAAGUCCUUAGAAAAAAUUACUAAUGCUACUAAUGCUGCUGAUACUACUAAAUCUAGUAAUGCUGCUGAUGCUACUAAUGCUAGUAGUGUUAAGUUAUCUUUUUUUAAAUUUUAAUUAUAAGUUAUGUUAUCUUUUUAAAAAAUCAAUAAAUAUUAAAAAUAAAAAAGAGCCGUAUCA